UGGGGAAUAUUGCACAAUGGGGGAAACCCUGAUGCAGCGACGCCGCGUGAAGGAAGAAGGUUUUCGGAUCGUAAACUUCUAUCAGCAGGGACGAAGAAAGUGACUGUACCUGACUAAGAAGCCCCGGCUAACUACGUGCCAGCAGCCGCGGUAAUACGUAGGGGGCAAGCGUUAUCCGGAAUCACUGGGUGUAAAGGGUGCGUAGGCGGUAGGGCAAGUCAGAUGUGAAAACCCGGAGCUCAACUUCGGGAUUGCAUUUGAAACUGUCCUACUAGAGUGCAGGAGAGGAAAGCGGAAUUCCUAGUGUAGCGGUGAAAUGCGUAGAUAUUAGGAAGAACACCAGUGGCGAAGGCGGCUUUCUGGACUGUAACUGACGCUGAGGCACGAAAGCGUGGGUAGCGAACAGG
RNAcentral lists this ribosomal RNA (407 nucleotides) under uncultured bacterium. Its description in RNAcentral is "bacterial SSU rRNA". It matches the Rfam family "Bacterial small subunit ribosomal RNA", at positions 355 to 776 of the family's 1533-position model. The record is from RNAcentral.